UCCUUUACACACAGUCUCUGGUCACACUCCUCAGUCCUUUACACACAGUCUGUGAUCACACUCCUCAGUUCUUUACACACAGUCUGUGAUCACACUCCACAGUCCUUUACACACACUCUGUGAUCACACUCCUCAGUCCUUUACACACAGUCUGUGAUCACACUCCUCAGUCCUUUACACACAGUCUCUGGUCACACUCCACAGUCCUUUACACACAGUGUGUUUGUGUAACGUGUGACUCUUUGUGUGUCUCAGGUUUUGGGAUGUUCCUUCGUCCUCGUCACAAACAACAGUUUAAAAACCUGCUGGAGUCGCUCAUCGGCCGCUGCACCGACGACUCGGAGGAAACUCCUGCACUAAUAAACACUGACCACUCUGGUCACUCUGGUCACUCUGGUCACUCUGGUCACUCUGGUCACUCUGCUCCAGUGAAAACUCAAAGCAAAAUCUCCACUUUCUUCUCGAGUCAGAGGAGGUGAUGAGCGUCAGGUUUGGGUUGAACUUUAAACGCUGCUCCUCAAACAGACUUUACUCGAGUAUUUGCACACGUGACGGUCGGACUUCUGCGCACAGACCUGGAUUUUAAAGAUGAACAGACUGAGAUGGACCUGACCUGGAGAACGGACCAAAAGGAGGAUUAUGUCGUUUAUGGAUUCACUUUUUUAUCUUAGUAUAAAAAAAUCUAAAAAUAAAUGGUUAUAAUAUUUAAA
Molecule: long non-coding RNA, 710 nt
Organism: Boleophthalmus pectinirostris (great blue-spotted mudskipper)
Lineage: Eukaryota; Metazoa; Chordata; Actinopteri; Gobiiformes; Gobiidae
Exons: 2
Source: RefSeq, a predicted model, not a curated record